This 375-nucleotide long non-coding RNA is filed under the name Marmota monax (woodchuck). The record is from RNAcentral. Lineage: Eukaryota; Metazoa; Chordata; Mammalia; Rodentia; Sciuridae.
AAAAGUGAUGCUGUGUUGGUGCUUUUGGGGAUUUGAAUAGCUCCUAAAAUAUACAGAUUUUUUAAUCAAUUUUUUUUUUUUUGCUGCCUGCUUUUUAGCUCUGCUUGCAACAUUGUUGCAAAGUAGCUAUGGACUCGCUUUCCGGAAUCCUUCCAAGGGGACAGAAGCCCCCGGGCUGGCCACCUCCCCAGCUCGUCUCAAGAGUUCCUGAAAAAAUGCUCCCAGAUGGAGGGACAAAGCACUGAGAACGUGUGUCCUUCAGGUCUGGAGCUUCUUCUGCACCCAAGAGGAGUUGAGGCAAGUUUUAUAAAUAUGAAAUCAGCUGCAAAAAUAAACAGGUCCUCUGAGUUAAUAAGAGGAAAUUGAAUAUAUUAU